GGAGCUAAUACAUGCAACUAUACCCCAACGCAAGGCGGGGUGCAAUUAUUAGAACAGACCAAACGUUUUCGGACGUUGUUUGUUGACUCUGAAUAAAGCAGUUUACUGUCAGUUUCAACUGACUCUAUCCGGAAAGGGUGUCUGCCCUUUCAACUAGAUGGUAGUUUAUUGGACUACCAUGGUUGUUACGGGUAACGGAGAAUAAGGGUUCGACUCCGGAGAGGGAGCCUUAGAAACGGCUACCAC
This 246-nucleotide ribosomal RNA is filed under the name Caenorhabditis elegans. RNAcentral describes it as "partial small subunit ribosomal RNA". It matches the Rfam family "Eukaryotic small subunit ribosomal RNA", at positions 160 to 413 of the family's 1831-position model. Lineage: Eukaryota; Metazoa; Nematoda; Chromadorea; Rhabditida; Rhabditidae. The record is from RNAcentral.